UACAGAGGGUGCAAACGUUGUUCGGAAUUACUGGGCGUAAAGCGCGUGUAGGCGGCUACGCAAGUCGGAUGUGAAAGCCCACGGCUCAACCGUGGAAGUGCACCCGAAACUAUGUAGCUAGAGUCCUGGAGAGGAAGGCGGAAUGCUUGGUGUAGAGGUGAAAUUCGUAGAUAUCAAGCGGAACACCGGUGGCGAAGGCGGCCUUCUGGACAGUGACUGACGCUGAGACGCGAAAGCGUGGGGAGCAAACAGG
Molecule: ribosomal RNA, 253 nt
Filed under: uncultured bacterium
Lineage: Bacteria
Description: partial 16S ribosomal RNA
Rfam family: Bacterial small subunit ribosomal RNA
Source: RNAcentral